RNAcentral lists this transfer RNA (70 nucleotides) under Teinobasis fortis. RNAcentral describes it as "tRNA-Leu". The record is from RNAcentral. Lineage: Eukaryota; Metazoa; Arthropoda; Insecta; Odonata; Coenagrionidae.
ACUAUUUUGGCAGAAAAGUGUUAUGAAUUUAGAAUUCAUUUAUGUGAGAUAAUAAUUCUUACAAAUAGUA